This 224-nucleotide long non-coding RNA is filed under the name Gallus gallus (chicken). Lineage: Eukaryota; Metazoa; Chordata; Aves; Galliformes; Phasianidae. The record is from RNAcentral.
CGUUGCCAUUGAAUCGUGCAAGAACUGUUACAACUGACAGUGACAUUUGAUGGAGGCAUGAGUUUUUCGAUCUUAUAUAGUUGAAUAUACGUGUCGUAGAACUGGAUCAGGGAGUUUUUGCUAGACCCAUUCACCAAAAAGUAAGAUUUCUCUAUCUUCACGUUUUUGAAUGUACAUCCCACAUGUCUUCCAUUUUCAUCUUUAAUGUAGAGCUCACAUUCCAU